This 84-nucleotide transfer RNA is filed under the name Serratia sp. (in: enterobacteria). RNAcentral's name for it is "Serratia sp. (metagenome) tRNA-Lys". It matches the Rfam family "tRNA". Rfam says of the family: Transfer RNA (tRNA) molecules are approximately 80 nucleotides in length. Their secondary structure includes four short double-helical elements and three loops (D, anti-codon, and T loops). The record is from RNAcentral. Lineage: Bacteria; Pseudomonadati; Pseudomonadota; Gammaproteobacteria; Enterobacterales; Yersiniaceae.
GGGUCGUUAGCUCAGUUGGUAGAGCAGUUGACUUUUAAUCAAUUGGUCGCAGGUUCGAAUCCNNGAAUCCCGCACGACCCACCA